GACGAACGCUGGCGGCGUGCUUAACACAUGCAAGUCGAACGGAAAGGCCCUGCUUUUGUGGGGUGCUCGAGUGGCGAACGGGUGAGUAACACGUGAGUAACCUGCCCUUGACUUUGGGAUAACUUCAGGAAACUGGGGCUAAUACCGGAUAGGAGCUCCUGCUGCAUGGUGGGGGUUGGAAAGUUUCGGCGGUUGGGGAUGGACUCGCGGCUUAUCAGCUUGUUGGUGGGGUAGUGGCUUACCAAGGCUUUGACGGGUAGCCGGCCUGAGAGGGUGACCGGCCACAUUGGGACUGAGAUACGGCCCAGACUCCUACGGGAGGCAGAAGUGGGGAAUAUUGCACAAUGGGCGGAAGCCUGAUGCAGCAACGCCGCGUGCGGGAUGACGGCCUUCGGGGUGUAAACCGCUUUCGCCUGUGACGAAGCGUGAGUGACGGUAAUGGGUAAAGAAGCACCGGCUAACUACGUG
RNAcentral lists this ribosomal RNA (468 nucleotides) under uncultured bacterium. RNAcentral describes it as "partial 16S ribosomal RNA". It matches the Rfam family "Bacterial small subunit ribosomal RNA", at positions 28 to 507 of the family's 1533-position model. The record is from RNAcentral.